RNAcentral lists this ribosomal RNA (543 nucleotides) under uncultured Janthinobacterium sp. RNAcentral describes it as "bacterial SSU rRNA". It matches the Rfam family "Bacterial small subunit ribosomal RNA", at positions 1 to 524 of the family's 1533-position model. The record is from RNAcentral. Lineage: Bacteria; Pseudomonadati; Pseudomonadota; Betaproteobacteria; Burkholderiales; Oxalobacteraceae.
ACAUACGCGUAGAGUUUGAUCAUGGCUCAGAUUGAACGCUGGCGGCAUGCUUUACACAUGCAAGUCGAACGGCAGCGCGGAAUGGGGUAACCCGGCCUGGCGGCGAGUGGCGAACGGGUGAGUAAUAUAUCGGAACGUACCCUGGAGUGGGGGAUAACGUAGCGAAAGUUACGCUAAUACCGCAUACGAUCUAAGGAUGAAAGUGGGGGAUUCGCAAGAACCUCAUGCUCCUGGAGCGGCCGAUAUCUGAUUAGCUAGUUGGUAGGGUAAAGGCCUACCAAGGCAUCGAUCAGUAGCUGGUCUGAGAGGACGACCAGCCACACUGGAACUGAGACACGGUCCAGACUCCUACGGGAGGCAGCAGUGGGGAAUUUUGGACAAUGGGCGCAAGCCUGAUCCAGCAAUGCCGCGUGAGUGAAGAAGGCCUUCGGGUUGUAAAGCUCUUUUGUCAGGGAAGAAACGGCCUGUCCUAAUACGGUGGGCUAAUGACGGUACCUGAAGAAUAAGCACCGGCUAACUACGGUGCCAGGCAGCCGCGGUAAU